Molecule: ribosomal RNA, 221 nt
Filed under: uncultured bacterium
Lineage: Bacteria
Description: partial 16S ribosomal RNA
Rfam family: Bacterial small subunit ribosomal RNA
Source: RNAcentral
GACGAACGCUGGCGGCGUGCUUAACACAUGCAAGUCGAGCGACUGCAUUCUUUUCGGAGGGUGUAUGGAGCGGCGAACGGGUGAGUAACACGUGAGUAAUCUGCCUUUGGCUUGGGAAUAACUUCGGGAAAUCGGGGCUAAUGCCUGAUGUUUACUGUCUGCUGCAUGGUGGGUGGUGGAAAAGAUUUUUUUGGCCAGGGAUGAGCUCGCGGUCUAUCAGC